RNAcentral lists this ribosomal RNA (386 nucleotides) under uncultured bacterium. RNAcentral's name for it is "bacterial SSU rRNA". It matches the Rfam family "Bacterial small subunit ribosomal RNA", at positions 94 to 495 of the family's 1533-position model. The record is from RNAcentral.
AGUGGCAGACGGCUGAGUAACGCGUAGGAAACCUGUCCCACAGUGGGGGAUAACCCGCCGAAAGGUGGGCUAAUACCGCAUACGUUCCCGUGGUGAGAGACCGCGGGAGGAAAGCCGCAAGGCGCUGAGGGAGGGGCCUGCGUCCUAUCAGGUAGUUGGUGAGGUAACGGCUUACCAAGCCUACGACGGGUAGCUGGUCUGAGAGGACGACCAGCCAGACGGGGACUGAGACACGGCCCCGACUCCUACGGGAGGCAGCAGCGAGGAAUCUUGGGCAAUGGGCGAAAGCCUGACCCAGCGACGCCGCGUGGGGGAAGAAGGCCUUCGGGUCGUAAACCCCUUUUGCCGGGGAAGAAGAUCUGACGGUACCCGGCGAAUAAGCCACG